This 253-nucleotide ribosomal RNA is filed under the name uncultured bacterium. Its description in RNAcentral is "partial 16S ribosomal RNA". It matches the Rfam family "Bacterial small subunit ribosomal RNA", at positions 524 to 776 of the family's 1533-position model. The record is from RNAcentral.
UACGUAGGGUGCAAGCGUUGUCCGGAAUUAUUGGGCGUAAAGAGCUCGUAGGCGGUCUGUCGCGUCUGCUGUGAAAACUCGGGGCUUAACCCCGGGCCUGCAGUGGGUACGGGCAGACUAGAGUGCGGUAGGGGAGACUGGAAUUCCUGGUGUAGCGGUGAAAUGCGCAGAUAUCAGGAGGAACACCGGUGGCGAGGGCGGGUCUCUGGGCCGUAACUGACGCUGAGGAGCGAAAGCAUGGGGAGCGAACAGG